Molecule: non-coding RNA, 76 nt
Organism: Podarcis lilfordi (Lilford's wall lizard)
Lineage: Eukaryota; Metazoa; Chordata; Lepidosauria; Squamata; Lacertidae
Source: the annotation of a GenBank genome assembly
ACCUUGGUAGCUCAGUUGGUAGAGAGCAUGAGACUCUUAAAUCUCAGGGUUGUGGGUUCAAGUCCCAUGUUGGGCA